GUUAUUAAAGUCAUUAUUCAUUGACGGUCUACUUUAAAUCUAUUUUUUUUUUGUCGCAUAAUUGUUUACAUUUUGUAGAAACUUUAAUUUAGUCGACACUAAUUAUUGACAUUAAAACUUGAAUUUCUACUCAUAAAACAAGCAAAGACAAAAAUUCAAGACCAUAUCUACUUUGAGAGCUAUUUGUGUACUUCAGCCCUAUAAAAAGGGCAUCCGAUGAAUUAUUUUCUGUAAAUAAACCUUAAUAAUUGUUGUCCUAGGCCCAACUUCAUUUUUUCUGGAAUGUAUAUCCUAUGACCAAUAUAUAUUCAUCUAAAAUCUCAAUUGGUUAGUUUUCUGUUCAGUAUAGGGAUAUAGUAAUACAUGCUCGUUUAUCAAAUAAAUUCAGCCGCUAAUAUGUUUAGUUUCAGUAGAGAAUGGUAUGUUCAUAUCAAAUUACAAAGAUGAUUUUUGGAUCCAACAAACAAAUGAUUCAGACGCCCAUAUCGGAUGCAAAAUUUAAUUAAUAAGAUCACAGUAUGCAGAUACAAAUUGCCCGGCAUUUAUACUGUCCUUAUUGUCCGGUGCUACCAAGCUAGUAUAAAAUACUACACAAAAGAUAUAUGAAGUAUAAACACACUUCUUGUGUAAACAUUAGACGUAAAUCAUGCUUGUUGAUGGACAUCCAUAUAAAUAAUUAGCAUCAACAAGAACUUUUUCUCUUUUUGCCCGCUUAAGAUCUUCAUCCACCGUCAUCUUCACCAAUUGCUCAAAUCUGACUCUGGUUUCCAACCCAAAACCUUCUUCGUUUUGCUUGCAUCUCCUUUGAGAUUAUCUACUUCUGCGGGCCUAAAAUACCUCUGGUCAAUAUUCACAUGUUCCUUCCACAAUUAAACCCCACCUAAUCAAAUGUCACUUCGCAAAACUCCACCGCAACAUGUGACUCUUCAAUUAUCAACACAUAAUUAUCAGGCUUCCCAUGUUGUCUAUCAAGAAAAGUUCCAUUUUUUCUUGACAAGUGGUUAUAACUACAUCCUUUAUAAUCAUUAUGACAAGUUGGCUUGCUUUUUGAUGCAGCAACAAAUGAGCCUUUCUAUUAGAAAAGGUGAGAACUCGGAUUCAAUAAGUCAUGCUCUUCAAGAACAUAGCUUGAGUUUUCAUAGAAUGAAACAAUGAGUCCAAAACAUCAAUCUACCAGAAAUUGAGAGGUAAAAGGGAAUAGUGGAAAUUGAGAUAUCUCUAAUAACAUAAAGGUUGUAGUAAUAAUCACUUGUGAAAAAAAAUUGAAACUUUUCUGGAUAGACAACAUGAGAAGCUUGAUGAUUAUGUGUUCGUUACUGAAGAGUCACGUACUGUGGAGGAGUUUUGCGAAGUGGCAUUUGGUUAUGUGGGGUUAAGCUGGAAGGAACAUGUGGAGAUUGACCAUAGGUAAUUUAGGCUCGUGGAAGUGGAUAAUCUCAAAGGAGAUGCAAGCAAAGCGUAAAAGGUUUUGGGUUGGAAACCUAGAGUCGGAUUUGAGCAAUUGGUGAAGAUGACGUAGAUGAAGAUCUUAAGCUAGCUAAGAGAGAAAGUUGUUAUUGACGCUGGCUAUAUAGAUGCCAAUCAAAAAGCAUGAUUUACAUCGAAAUUUUAUAUUGGAUUAUAUUCCUAUGAAAUGUACCUAAGAAUGGAGCUUGUAAGAAGAGAAUUCAUUCCUAUGAAAUGUACCUAAGAAUGGAGCUUUUUAUAGGUGCCUCAUUAGGAUUAUUAGUUAAGCCUAAUCCAUUCUAGAGAUAGUUACCCUUUUCUUAUCAGGAAUUAACAAAGGAAUCUUUUAACGAAUAUAUCAACCAUGCAAUCUUUUCAAUGCAUGUGACAAAAUGUGACAAAAUGUGACAGUUCAACCAGUCUUUUCACUUCAAGAACCUUUUCCUAGUGAAAUGUUUUAGAUGGUAUACCAAAUUGGGUAUUGGGACUUUGUAGAUGCAUGUGAUAUUAUUAACUAAUUGUAGCAGCCACCGAAUGAGCUAGCUUUGCGAAACAAAUUUCUUGAUACCAUAUAUGUGUAUAACAACAGCAACAAUUACUACACUCAAUCCUAACAAGCUGGGGUUGGCGAUAUAAAUCCUCGUUUAUAUAUAUAUAUAUNNNNNNNNNNNNNNNNNNNNNNNNNNNNNNNNNNNNNNNNNNNNNNNNNNNNNNNNNNNNNNNNNNNNNNNNNNNNNNNNNNNNNNNNNNNNNNNNNNNNNNNNNNNNNNNNNNNNNNNNNNNNNNNNNNNNNNNNNNNNNNNNNNNNNNNNNNNNNNNNNNNNNNNNNNNNNNNNNNNNNNNNNNNNNNNNNNNNNNNNNNNNNNNNNNNNNNNNNNNNNNNNNNNNNNNNNNNNNNNNNNNNNNNNNNNNNNNNNNNNNNNNNNNNNNNNNNNNNNNNNNNNNNNNNNNNNNNNNNNNNNNNNNNNNNNNNNNNNNNNNNNNNNNNNNNNNNNNNNNNNNNNNNNNNNNNNNNNNNNNNNNNNNNNNNNNNNNNNNNNNNNNNNNNNNNNNNNNNNNNNNNNNNNNNNNNNNNNNNNNNNNNNNNNNNNNNNNNNNNNNNNNNNNNNNNNNNNNNNNNNNNNNNNNNNNNNNNNNNNNNNNNNNNNNNNNNNNNNNNNNNNNNNNNNNNNNNNNNNNNNNNNNNNNNNNNNNNNNNNNNNNNNNNNNNNNNNNNNNNNNNNNNNNNNNNNNNNNNNNNNNNNNNNNNAAUCUCUUUUGCCGCAAAAAAUUAUAUUGUGCAAAUAAAGCAACUAACGGAUGAUUAUGGCUAUAUAUAGACUAUUGAAUCCCUUUGAGGCUAAUAGUGUUGUGGAUUAUCUAGCAAAAAGAGCCAAGAAUAGUCAACAAGGUUCCUUCUAUUACACCUUCGAAAGCCCUUCCUAGAGGUGCGAAGGGCCCCUUUAUGUUGGACAAAUUUCAGAUGCCUACUAUUAGGCAAAGAUACGACAAGGCUAAUUUCUUUGUUAGUUAGCCCUUUUUAGUUGAUGGGAUGGCUGAAUAAUUAAUGUAUGCUUUAAGGCCAUCCUUUUUUUGAAGGACAAUUGCUUGUCCGUAUGUUGUAAUUUUGAGGUAAGGUCAAGUCCCCCUCUGGUUCUCUUUCUCAUGAAUAUAACUAAACCCACAUCACUAGGAAAAUUUAUAAAAAUAAAAAAUAAAAAAUAAAUCCCUUUGACAUUAGGAAAGAUUUUAGUGUGGUAUUCGAGAAUUGCUUUAGGUCACUGUUCAAUUGCUAGGCGUGACUUAACCGCAAUCUUGAACUCACAGCUUUCAACCCCACAAACGCACCGUCACUAACAUGCUAACUUGCGAAAAUAAGAAAAUCUCAUAAUCAACUCUGAACCACAAGCAAAUUGAACAUCUCAACAAGUGCGAACCUUGCAUUUAACUCAAUCUAGGAGAACAUCACCACACACAAUAUAACUUCUAUACUUGUAGCAAACAUCAACUCCGGCAUUGGCCAUAACCAUGGUAAUUUCUUCAGAACUCAUUAACACAUGAUUGAGUCAUCAGAACCGAUCGCCUCUAACUCAACCGAAUCACCCAGACUGCCAACCUGCAAGCAACUCAAUCUGAUAUGCAUCGCUCUAAAGGGACCUUCUGGGACUCUAAAGCCAUUUCUUUCAUCCAUCCAAUAUUGCCAUAUAGAAUCAUUCUUGACAUAGUAAUACCGCAGAUUCGAUUACCAUUCGAUACCGAUCUCAAGCCUUACCCAUACACAAAUUUAGAAGUCCUUAAAUGUUACAUAUGAUCUGAAACUCGUCAGAACCUUAUCGAUAACCACUCACCUCUUCAAUAGACAAUUAAUACGCACCGAGCAACCCACGCUUCACCAGCACAUGACUAUUCAAAGUAAUAACCAAGCAACCCCUCAGCCCGACAACUGAUACAACGCAUGAUCCUAUAAUCCGAUCGUCAUUAGCAGACUCUCCCAUUUAGCCCGAAGCCAUAGAACACAUCGUCGGUAAUCCAAAGUCACAUAUCUUUAUAGCAUGCCCCGAUCCCGCACGGCAAUUUAGUUGAAUACUUCAAAAAAGGCCAUGCAAUACUUGUCAUAGAACACUUCGAAGACUCUGCCAAGCACUUACCCAUCCUUACAAUAGUCAAACAACUUCCCCAAAUGCUCUGAAAUGAUAAUAUAUGCAUCCCACCGAAUGGAAACCACAUACGAAACACACGAUCCAAACUCAUCACGCAGGAGAUAACCCACAAAUGCAACAACUCACCAUGAACCCACCAUAAUCAAAACAACUAGUCCAGUAGACCGCCUUUCCAUGUUCGUGCUUACCAACCAGAUAUAAGAGCCCGCCUCGUAUCACAAAUGAACGACUGAAAGAUUUAACACUGCAUUUGCUCCCCAGACUAGACAUCACAUCGCGAUGAUAAUCAAGCAUCCAUAGCCUUCGUAAUCCAUCUGCAGCAUCAUAAAUCAUCGACGCAUAGCAAUUACUGAUGCACAACAUCUCAUAUGAACGAAUAUGAAGAAUCAAAAUAGGUUUCAAGAUGAAACAAGGCCGCACGAUAAGGAAAGAAGAAAGGGAAAUUUUCUUAAAUGUCAUGUAGACUCUCAAAGAUAGGUAUGGAUGUCAUCAUACCGAUCCGCAAGACUCUACUAGACAUUUGCUCAUGACUCGUAGAACCUACGAACCUAGUGCUCUGAUACCAACUUGUCACAACCCAAAAUCUACAAAUCGUGAUGGCAUCUAACCCGACCCGUUAGGUCAUCCAAUUAACAGUUAACACAAUUCUAAUAAAAUAAAUGUGAUCAAUAAUUGAUAUAUCUGGAUUCCAAACAAUAACCCAAGGACUAGUAGUACAAGAUAUGAGCUACUAAGACUGGAUUAUUGCAAAAAUGGAUGUGAAAUAAAUACAACUUCUGUUUAAAAUGUACAUAAACAUAAUUAAACUCUAAAACUACCCAGGGACUAGUGGUACCCACAUCCGAAAGGCACGAACAUCUUCAGAGUCAUCCCCCGUCAUCCACCGCAGCUCCGCUCCAAAAAUUUGCACGCAAGGUGCAGAAGUGUAGUAUGAGUACAACCGACCCCAUGUACUCAAUAAGUAUCUUGACUAACUUCGGUGAAGUAGUGACGAGGCUUUUUAGUUAAAAGAUAAUCAUUGAUAUAACAUAUACAGUAAACAAGCAAUAGAACGAUACUACAAUAUAACAGAAAAGAGUACACAAAACGAAUAUGCGAAGCAAUAAAUGAGUACUAGAAGAGAUCACAAUUUAGCAUUUUCUAAUAUCUUGACCAAUGAACCAAUGAACCACGAUAGUAACUCCAUAACUUUCAUAGUGUGAGAAAUGUACACAAGAUAUCAUGUCAAGGGCACGACAACACUCUUCGUGCAUUUAUCUAAUCCUCACCAAAUAUACGUAUAACAGUACCAACCGAGUGAAAGUAAUGCCAAUAACAGUAAUGACAAAGUGAAAAAUACACAGGAAACAAUAACGAAGAAGGCAGUACAUAUGGUCAAUAGUAGCAGACUAGGUAGGAGGCAUAGAAAUAAUGACAGCAAUUAGGAAAGAAGAAUAUAAAUUUUACUAACUAGCAUGGUAGAAGGCCUAUGUGUAGAUAUAACAAACAAGAGGGAAAUCAUGAUCUUUAUGAGCUAAUACCUAGAAGGCAUAAAUAACUAACAUGAUAAUAAGCUUAUACGAAAAUGCAACAAAUGAGGAACGCCAUGGAUGUAGAUAUAACAACAAAAAGGGAAACAUGAUAUUUCCAAGUUAAACAAACAGAAGGCAUGGGCAAUACAACAACAAUUGAGAUAGAGAACAAAACCAUAACAAUAACGACAAGUCACAUAGAAAACUUAGGUACAACAGUAUUAGUUCAAGGUAAAGGCAUGAACGUAUACACCAUGAAAAGAUAUCACAACAUAAUGCAUGUCCCUCUUCCUAGCCUGCACGGAAAUACCCUUCGUGCCAUGAACCCAUGAUAAUAUAAAUGAAAUGGCACGGCAUCACCGUUCAUGCUUUUACACACAUCCUCACAUGUUAAUAUAAAUGAGAACACGCGGCAUCACCCUUCAUGCUUUUACUUUCACCUUCACAUGAUAACGUAAAUAAAAUGGCAUGGCAUCACUCUUCGUGCUUUACACUCUUCCUCACAUGAUAAUGCAUACGCAAUGGCACGACAUCACCCUUCGUGCUUUACGCUCUUCCUCACCAAGCAUAUGUAUACCAAUGACAAGUAAGGUAGGAAGCAUGAAUAACAUCAAGGAGAGUGUUUAAGCGAAUAUUCCAAAUGAACAUCAAUCACAUGUUUCCAGCCAAUAACAAUUCAACAAACCUCAAGUACUUUAUUAUUCAAGUAUUUUGACAAAUCUAAAAAAAAUGAUCUUUAACUCAAGUAUAGAAUCAAAUAUCUCAAGAAUAUCGGUCGUAAUGAUGUAUUAAUGAUUAAACAUAUUGAUGACCGAAUUUAACACAUCAAUAGUUUCACAAAAAAUCAUCAAAUUUUAAUCAAGUUAUAAUGAGCCAAAUCUUGGUUCCUAGCAUUUAAUUUCAUAUUCUUGGUAAUCUAGAAGUCAAGCAGGGCAUGAAACGAGAAGGUCACAAAAUUUUACAAGGCACAAUUAAUCGUAUAUUCUACCCCCGAGCAUUAUUAACCCUGGUACAUGCAUAUACACUUGUCACAUCAUAUAUGCAUCACCCCCGCAUGUAGCAAAAAAUGGCAAUUAGUAGAAAAACUUUUUUCAACAAAGUUAGGCAAGAUACUUACCUCAAUUCAGCCAAAUCAAUACUCAAAUUAGCUUUUCCUUUACAAAUUCAUCUCCACUCGACUCAAUCUAGCCAAAGACGACUUAAAUACAUCAAACAAUGCAAGAGAAAACAAUUCCAAUUAGGAAAGCUAUGAUCUUUAUACAAUUUUUAAAAAGUCAACAAAAGUUAACCCUGGGAUGCCCAGUCAAAACUCGGGUCCAAGGGUAGGUAUUGAUUACCAAUAGCCUCACGAGUCGAUAUACGUGUUUUGUUUCCAAAUCCGAGUCCAAUUCGAUUCUCAAAUCCAAAAUAUUUCAAUUAUUUCAAAUUUUUGACAAAAUCACCAAAUGUUUCCCUUAGAUACUCAUGAAUUUGAUGUUAAUUCUAAUGUAUAAUCACGAAAUAUAUUGAAAGUUGAUUAAAAUUACUUACCCGAUAGUUUGGUAGGAACAUCCUUCCACAAAAUCGCCUCCCAUCAAGGCUAAGGUUCAAAAUAUAUCAAAAUGAAGCUAAGUCUCGGAAUUACUCAGCUAUAUGCAGACUGCAGAUGUCGCAUUUGUGACAUAAGGUUCGCAAAUGCGAACCCCGCAAAAGAAGACAAGGCAUCGCAAAAGCGAACCAGGAGGAGUUCUACUAAGUCGCAUUUGCGACCAAAAUAUCGCAAUUGCGAAGACAGAUGCCAUCGCAAAAUCGGAAGAAAGCUUCUCAAAAGCGAAUAGCCCACACUCGCCAAUGCGAUGAAUGUCUUAGAAAAUGCGAACUCUUCCCCAAUAGCCUAGUUUCGCAAAUGCGAGGGCUACUUCGCAAAUGCGAUAGUCGUUUUGAGACAAAAACAUCGCAAAUGCGAUGGAACCAGUACCAGCACUCAAAAAUUAUAUAAAAUCAUUCCGAAACCAAUCCAAAACUCACCUGAGCCUGCGAGGCUCCAAACCAAACACCCACACCAGUCCAAAAACAUAACACGAACUCGCUCGCGUGAUCACAACAUCAGAAUAACAUCUAGAAUCACGAAUCGAAUGCCAAAAUGCAUAGAAAUCUCCAUGAACUUAAAGAACCUCUAGAAUCGCAACCACGCGUCCGAACCAUAUCAAAUAAACUCCAAAUGACGCCAAAUUUUGCAUGCAAGCUCCAUAUGACGAAACGUACCUAUCCAAGUUCUGAAACCAAAAUCCAAACCCGAUAGCCUUAAAGUCAAACCAUGAUCAAACCUAGGAAAAUUUCAAACCUUUAAAUUGCCAAUUUCCGCCAAAUGAUGCUGAAACCAUCUCCAAAUGCAAAUUCGGGCAUACGCCCAAGUCCAAAAACAUCAUCCGGACCUACUAGAACCGUCAAAACUCCGAUCCGAGGUCAAAUACUCAAAGGUCAAAUCUUGGUCAAUUCUUUCAACUUCGAGCUUCUCAAAUGAGAGUCACUCCUUAAAAUCAUUUCAGAACCACUCAAAACCCCGGGUCGAUGAUGCACGCAAGUCAUAAUACACUAGGUGAAGCUACGCAUGACCUAAAACUGCCGAACCGGACGCAAUUGCUCAAAACGACCAGUUGGGUCGUUACACGUUUCCACUCGAUCCAAGAACAACAUGUGUGUUCUAAGUCUCAUCAAUCAUUCUUCAUUGUCAAAAAUAAUAUUCUUGGAUCUCACCCAUUUUUGGGGUGACUCACACAUUUUUAUUUACUUAAAUGCCAUUUAUUGUCAUUCAUUACUAUUUAAUGCUAUCUUUCAUCUUUUUGAAUCAUUGAAUACUGUUAUUAGUGCUCACAUUCACUACCCUUCGGCCAAUAUACAUAUUAUUUGUCAUAAAACUGAUAACCUUAUCUUUUGGAUAUUAUUAUUAGCUAUUAUUGACUCUACUUUACUUAAUUCUAAUUGGUUGAACCAAAAUCUAUAUUUUGGGUCGAACAAUUUGGCGCCGUCUGUGGGGACUUCAUAGUUAAAUUUUUAGUUUCUUUUAGAUCUACAGCUAAUGUGAGUCACUAACCUCACAAACCCCAAGAUCUUUCUCUUUCUUUGCACAUACGGAAACCUACAAGGCAGGUAACCAAAGAGAGAGGACUAAAGUGACAGGUGAUUUCCUUAGCAACCUCAUGAACGCUAUUAACGAGAGCUGUGAAACAUUAGGCAAGGAUGUGACGCCCACUGCCUCCCCCUAGCGCCAGAGGUCGCCUCUCCCCUAUUGUAGUAUAACAAAACUAAACGGAAACUGGCCUCCACGUCCAUAGGAGAAGGGACGCCACCGACCAUGAAAAAGCUCCUCGAAGUAUGGUUGAUCGUUACGCUAGUAAGCAUUCUCAACAAGUCCACUCCAUGCACGACUAAAGAUAUCACAAGAGCCCACAUAGUGCAACGUGCAAACAAAUAUGACGAUCAACCAGACCCUCCAAUGCCAGGUAUAACUCAAAGUGUUACUAACAAUGCAGGUGACAACGUCCUCGCCGCUAUUCUAAAGAGGGUGGAAGAAAUAGAGAGUGAAAAUAAAGCGCCCGGAGAUCAAAUGAAAGAACACCAAGAACAAGUCGACAAGAUACCGGAUGCCCCUAAGCUACUGCCAAAGAGGGACACCGGCAGGUUCAUAGAGCAUCCGUACACCGAGGAAGAAUCCCCGCAUGCCAUACCAAAGACCUUCAAUAUGUUGUCAUAGCUUAGGAUAUACGACGGAACGACUGACCCCGAAGAUCAUGUGACUCAUUAUGUCACCGCCAUGAAAGGCAACGACCUCACCAAUGAACAGGUUUCCUCUAUUUCGAUGAAGAAAUUUGGAAAAACCCUUACGAGAGGGGCAUUAACAUGAUACUCAUAGCUACCAACCUGCUCCAAAGAAACCUUCGAGGAGAUGGCCGAUAAGUUCGUAACGGCGCAUGUCGGAGCCAAAAAAGACGAAACAAGAGUAAGUGACAUAUUUGCCAUAAAGUAGUCCUUAGGAGAGGGACUGAGGGACUUCCUUCGAUCGAUUUAACAGGGUAAGGAUGACCCUACUAAACGUGUCUGAGAGGAUGGCGGUCGCAGCGUUUUAGAAUUGGUUGAGUAGAGAUGGUUCAAGAAUGACUAGAAAACUGCUGAGCCGGUUGAUGAAAUAUCCUUCGACCACUUGGGAUGAAAUCCACAAUGCUUACUGUGCCGAAGUUCAAGCAGAUGAUGACGACCCUAACAGACCAACUCAAUGAUUCUUCUCGGUACAAGCCGAGUCUAGGAAAGAACAGAGAGAUAAUAUAAGGAGGGAUCACCCGAUCUCACGAUCCAACAAGGAGCGACAUCAUCCAUAUGUCAGGGGCCCCGCCCCACCUUCUUUCCACUAUGAUGAAGGCCCAUCCAGGCCAAGAACAGGGACUCAUUGGAAUGAGAGACGUAUGCCUCCCUUAUUAUCUUCUAACAAUUUUUGUGUGUCAUAUAUAGAAAUAGGCUAUGCCCUGGAGAAACUCGGAACGAAGGUGAAGUGGCUGCCAAAGAUGAGGUCUGAUCCGAGCACCAGAAAAUUCGGCGCCCUCUGCGAGUUCCACCAGGAGCGCAGACACAAGAUAGAAGAUUGCAUUGCCCUCAGGCAAGAGGUCGUGAACAUGUUGCAGUAGGGACACCUCAAAGAGCUGCUGAGCGACAAGAGGAGAAACAACUUCGCCAGGGGACGUGAACGCCAAGGACCGCCAAAGCCACCAUCACCAGCUCACACCAUCAACAUGAUUAUCAGCGACAGUAAUGACGCCUCCAUCAACAACGUUAAAUUCACUGCCACUCACAAGUGCAAAAGAUUUUUCACCCACAAACGGUACGACAGACUUGAAGAAAGUAUCAUUUUCGAUGAGUCAGAUGCCUCCGGUUUGACUUUCCCUCACAAUGAUGCUCUCGUCAUUACUUUGUGCAUUUUAGAUACCUAUGUCAAAUGUAUCAUGGUGGACGAUGGGAGUGAAGAGUGAAUUAUCAAUCCCAGAGCCCUCACUCAGAUGAGACUCGAGGACAAGAUAGUGCCGCGCUGCAUCACACUAACCGAUUUUAAUAAUACAGUUAAACGCACAUCGGGAGAAAUUACACUCCCUGUCUUGGCCGCCGACACAACGUUGGAGACGACAUUCCACAUCAUGGAACAGGCCACCGCAUACAAUGCCAUAGUAGGAAGACUAUGGAUACAUCCCAUGAGAAUUGCCCCCUCAAACUUAUACCUAGUAAUUAAAUUUUCAAAACCGUGGGGGAUAGUCAGCAUACAUGGAGAAAAGCGCACGUCCCGGGAAUGCUACCGCAUCGCCAUAGACAACACGAUAACCCAACAGAAAAAAAGACAAGGAAAAAGAGGCAUAGCAAUCAAAAGGGCCGAGGUUGACACAAGAAGAGACCAGGGACGUCAUCAUGGAUCCCAAAAUGGUUGAAGUCGCAGACUCGAAUAUAGAGGACCUCGAACCCAUUCAAUUAGAUCCCAACUACUAUAACAAAAAGUCCUACAUCGACUGCAAACUCCGAGAACUAGGUAAAUUUAGUCAAUUUUUAAUAACUAACGCAGAUUUGUUUGCUUUCAGCCAUGUAGAUAUGUCGGGCAUUCCCAAGGAGAUCGCCACACAUAAACUAAAUGUCGAUCAGUUCUACCCCCUUAGUAAGGCAGGUCAGACAAAAAUUCAAUCCCGCCAUCAACGAUGCCGUCCACAAGGAGGUGGGGAAACUAAUAGAACAUGGCUUCAUCAGGGAGACUAAAUACCCCAAGUGGAUCGCCAACAUAGUGAUGGUCAAAAGGAAAAAUAGAAAAUGGUGGAUGUGUAUAGACUUCACGGACUUGAAAAAAGCAUGCCCGAAGGAUUCGUUCCUGUUACCAAAUAUCGACCAACUCAUCGACAUGACGGUCGGGCAUGAGCUGCUGAGUUUUUUGGACGUGUACUCGGGCUAUAACCAGAUACUUAUGGAAGAAGAGGACCGGGAGAAAACCACGUUCAUCACCCAACGAGGAACAUAUUGUUACAAGGUCAUGCCAUUUGAGCUGAAGAACACAGGGGCUACCUAUCAAAUAUUGGUCACGAAAAUGUUCAAUGAUCAGCUCGGCAAGACCAUGAAGGUAUAUAGCAAUGACAUGUUGGCCAAAUCUGUAAAGGCAGAGGAUCAUAUCGACCAUUUGAAGGAAGCUUUCGACAUAAUGAGCCGGUACAGAAUGAAAUUAAACCCAGAAAAAUGCAUAUUUGGCGUAGCCUCGGGAAAGUUCUUGGGUUUCUUAGUGUCACAACGGGGGAUCGAGGUCAACCCAGAUCAAAUCAAAUCUAUCGAAGGAUACCGGAGCUCCUAACUACCAAGGCAAGUCCAAUCGCCGCCUUAUCGAGAUUCAUCUCACGGCCAUCUGACAGAUGUCACAAUUUUUUUGGCGUACUCAAAAAGGAUAACGGCCUCGAGUGGACGCUCGAGUGCGUACAAGCUCUACCAAAACUAAAGGCAUAUUUGUCAUCACCACCUCUGCUAUCAAAGCCCGAACUCGGGGAACAUCUCCUCGUCUACUUGGCCACCUCCGAAGUGGAAGUAAGUGCAGUCCUGAUACGAGAAAGUAAAGGUACGCAAUCUCCUAUUUAUUAUAUUAGCAGAACACUCGUCGACACCGAGACGAGGUACCCACACCUAGAGAAACUAGCCCUGGCACUUGUCAUAGCUUCAUGAAAGCUUAGACCUUAUUUCCCUUGCCACCCUAUCGCGGUCAUUACCACCUAUCCUCUAAGAGGAAUUUUACAUAAACCCGAAUUAUCGGGGAGACUGGCCAAGUGGGCCAUCGAGCUAAGCGAGCAAAACAUCACAUAUCAGCCGCAAACGGCGAUAAAGUCACAAGUGCUCACCGAUUUCAUCGCAGACUUCAGUGCAAAGAUAAUGCAUGAGGUCGAGAAGAAAGUCGUCCAAGCUUCUCUCCAAACACAAGACCUAUGGGUCCUAUACACCGAUAAUGCAUCUAACGCUUCCAGACUAGGACUCACACUUGAGGUCCCUACAGGAGAAGUAAUUCGCCAAUCCAUAAGAUGCCCAAACAUGACUAACAACGAGGCUGAGUAUGAGGCCGUAAUUGCAGGAUUGAGGUUGGCACUCAAGCAUGGGGCGAAACGGUUAAAACCCUGUUGUGAUUUCCAACUCGUAGUCAACCAAGUCACUAGGACUUUCGAAAUCAAAGAACAAAGGUUGCAAAAAUACUUGACCGAGAUUAGUAAGUUGUUUCCCAAGUUCGACGAAUGUCAGCUCGACUAGAUCUCGCGUGGAUAGCAUAUUGAAGUGACGGCCUCGCCAAAUUAUCCGCAACCACCAAAAGCAUCACGACCGGGGAUAAAAGUGUAGUCCACCUCCUCAACUCAUCUCUAGACCAAACCGAGGUAAGAUCAGUAAGCUUAACUUAGGAUUGGCGCAAUCAUAUUAUCGCCUACUUACAGGACGUCACACUCCCAAUCGACAAAAAGGAAGCCAUAAAAAUAAGAAUGCAAGCAGCCAGAUGCAAUCGCCUCCAUAGCGACCUACACAAAAUGACAUACGGUGGCCCUCAGGAAAAAUGUUUGGGCCCAAACCAAACCCAGCGCGUCCUCGAUGAAGUUCAUGAAGGUCAUUGCGGCGCUCACUUCGGCAAUCGAGCACUCGUUAGGUAUCUCAUAUGGGCAGGAUACUAUUGGCCCACUAUGAAAAAGGAUGCCUCAGAAUUCGUGAGAAAUACGAACAAUGUCAGAAAGCAGCAAGCAGAACAUUACUACAACAAGAAAGUAAAGGUCCGUCCGCUCAAAGUCCGGGACUAUGUACUCAAAGCCAAAACUCAAGCAAGAAAAGACCCACGGGAAGGCAAACUAGGAACAAACUGGGACAACCCAUACAAAAUAACAACCAAAACAAACAAGGGUUCAUUCCAAUUAGAGAUGAUGGAAGGAAAACAAUUACCAAACAAUUGGAACAUCAGCCACCUCAAAUACUUCAACUUCUAAAGGGAAUAAGCGCCCCCAAGUAGUACUCUUUUUCCCUUACUUGAGUUUUUUCCCAUUAGGGUUUUCUCAAGGAGGUUUUUAACGAGGCGAUGAAAGGGACACUUCGAUUCAAAUUAUGCAAAGCAAGGGAUGUUUUCUCUUUCAUUGCCCGACUCCUCAAUACUCUCCAAUCAUGUAAUCAGAACAACAAUGUCAAAGUAAUAGAAAUUCAAGUUUAUCAAAACCGCCCUAACAAAAGAUUAGGUUAGAUCAGCUCGAACAAACAACUAUCGACCCUCGGCCGUAUCGUAACAAAGGUUAUGUUCGACCUAGCUCGAACAAAAACCUAUCGGCCCUUGACCGCAUCUUAACAAAGGUUAAGUUCGACCCAGCUCGAACAAACACCUAUAGUCCCUCGACCGCAUCGUAACAAAAGUGAAGUUCGACCUAGCUCGAACAAACACCUAUUGGCCCUCAGCCGCAUCAUAACAAAGAUUAAGUUCGAUCCAGCUCGAACAAACAUCUAUCGGCCCUUGACCGCAUCUUAACAAAGGUUAAGUUCAACCCAGCUCGAACAAACACACAUCGGCCCUCGGCCACACCUUAACAAGGGUUAAGUUCGACCCAGCUCAAAUAAUACCUAUAUUUAACAAAAGGUUAAAAAUAGACCAAGUUCGAACAACACCUACCGGCCCUCGGCCGCGAUUUAACAAGAGGUUAAAAUUCGACCAAGUUCAAAUGACAUCUAUCGGCCCUCGUCCAUGUUUCAAUAGAAGGUUAAACUUAACCAAACGAGAAACUAAGUUCGACCAAGUCCAAACCUAACUGAUCGAUCCUCAGGCAUACUCGAUCUGUACGGACAAUGGGGGUAUCUAGCCCAUAGAUAUUCAACCCGAAUCAUGGAGACAUCAAAAGUAUGAAGGAGCAAAAUGCACAAAGUACAAAAACAAAUCAUGGCAGAUAAGAAAGGCAUAGAUGAAAACAAAAACCAACUUUGAUAUGAAUAGACAAAGGUUUCUUACAAUGGAUCUUGAAGACGCCAGCAAAAAUACACAAAAUUAUAAAAAACAAACUACUGCUGGCCAUCGCCAUCACGGCCCACACCAUCCUCACCGGUCCGGUCUUCAACAUUGUCACCUCCCCGAUCUUCAGCAUCCUCUCCAUCCUCGCCCGGAAGAAUGGGAAUGGAGUAGGGAAACUGAGUAAGGAAAGGAAGUUUAGAAAAGAAAAUGGCAAGAAGAACGAUGGUGCUCUGGAAAGUUAGAAGAAACAAACUUCAAACUAAAGUCCAAAAAACUCUAUUUAUAGAGAUCGUGGCACUAAACUCGAAAAUGGCUCAUCAUAAUUAGCACCGGAAUCGAAACGGCAGAUCCAAUCAAGGGUCACGCACGAAUCAAUGCAACGUAUCGGGAAUAUGCAUCAUAAUAAUGCAUGAUGUCAUGACGUCAUUCUAUUCCUUGGACAGGAUAACUCCAACAAAUCACCCAUGAAACUUGUGGUAUUUGAAAUAUGCGGCUCACAUGGGGGGCACGUGGCAUGUUCGACACAACGAUUACGACUCUUGCAGCCUACUCGAUAAGUUCGACCGAAAAUGACAUUAUCCGCUCAUUAAGCUCACCCGCGAGGACGACCUCAAUAAGCAGAGUGACUAAAUGUAUAAGUCAAAAAUUAUCUCUAAUAUGAUCAAACCAUGUUAACAUUAAUGAGGCAUUCACAGACUGCCAUGUGUCACCAAUAUGACUUCAAUAAAGACUUGCCCAAGGUCGAAGUGGUUCUAGAAAUGAUGAAGGUCGCGGUCGAAGAAUCAGCAAUGAUCAAAGUCGAGAAGUCGUCGUAGAUCAAGGUCGAGGUUGAGUAUCCUAGACAGAGUUAUAACGACUAGUUUCAAGAUAGGACGCUAAAGAGAAUAUUCUAGUAGAUAUUCUCUGCACUUGUACUAUUAGAGUUUCUAGGAAUAUGUUCCCUAUAAAUAAAAAGAGACACAAUGAUAGGGGACAUGAGAUAUUUAUUUGUAAAAAACACAUUGACUUUAUAGAGUGAAUCUGAUCAUAUUGCAAGCAUACAAAAAUAACCUUUUUACUAAGAUUCUUGUCUAACUUUUCCACUAGAUCCAAGAACCUGAGUGUUCUAUGGCUCAUCAAUCAUUCUUCAUUGUCAGAAAGAAUAUUCAUGUAUCUCACUCAUUUUCGGGUGACUCACACUUUUUUAUUUACUUAAAUGUUAUUUAUAUCUGUUCAUUAUUAUCUAGUGUUGUCUUCCAUCUUUUUGAAUCAUUGAAUACUGUUAUUAGUGCUCACAUUCACUACCAUUCGGUCAAUAUAUAUAUUAUCUGUCAUAAAACCGAUAAUCUUAUCUUUUGGAUAUUACUAUUAGCUAAGAUUGACUCUUCUUUACUUAAAUCUAAUUGGUUGAAUCGAGAUGUAUAUUUUGGGUAGAAUAAGAUAAAGAUUGGGUGAGUCGAUAUUCGCCCCAAUUUUGAAUUGCAUCGUUAUUGGUAGGCCAAAGGCUAAAGCCAAAUUAUAGUCAUCGAAUUGAUCAAGUUAAGAGGUUAGUGAACAUAGUUAUUUAUUACAUAGAUUACGAAUAAUUGAAACGUCAUUGGACACGUGCAUUCUACCACACGUUUUGAAUGUUUUCUAGUGCAUAAAUAACUAAAUAAGUUUUUGUUUACUUAGCACGCGAAUAAGGUUUUGGAUUGGAAACCCAAAGUCGGAUUUGAUUCUUGCACAUAAAGAAAUGGCUAAAGCCUAGAUGAACUCAACAAAAGUCUGAGUAAGAGAAUUAUGUACAAAAUACAAAUUAUGACGUUGUAAUUGAACAUGUACAUAAUACAAAUUAGGACGUUGUAAUUAACCUAUACAAAAUUUAUGUUGAAUUAUGAAAGUGAACUACUUAUCACAUGCCUUCACAAGAAAAUGCACAACACUUGCACUCAAAAAAAAAAUGCACAUAACUUGCACAUCGCUUACAAAAUGGACGGAAAAUUGAUUAAGUAUAUAUCUACCCCUAACAAACUACUCAACUAUACAUUUAGACCAACAAAAAAUUAGACUUAUCAUAUAUGAAAUUACUCAAAGUACUUAUAUAAAAAUAAUAAAGGACCAAAUAUGCUAAAUAUCUCAACAACUAUUCAAGCUCUUCCGUGUAUAAGCACUAACAACUUUCAAUUUACUACUAUUUUUUUAAAAUCAGGCCUACGAUUAUUAAUGUUUACAAGAGGAAUUCAGUCGAGCAGUUCUCACCAAGGCCAUACCUAGUCAUAUUCCCUUAUUGUGGUAAUAGAGUUUUGUAUGGACUUCCAUAUGUCUAGCCUCACAGGAUCCAUGUCUUGACGACUCGUUUAGUGGGGCUCGCCAUUGAGAUAAUAUUUAUAAUUAUAUUCAGAAUUGUUAUCCUAAAUUAUUAUAUUUUUAUCAGUUUUUUAUUUAAAUUAUUCGGUAUCUUCAAAACUCUGAUGAACUAUAUCCUGUCAGUUAUUAAAAAACAUCUCUUGAUAUUUUUUGUAAAAUGUGUGAGAUAACUCAUCUAAAGACAUGUGGAAGAUAAAACUAUCCAUAAAAAUGGUCCCGCUGGCAUACUCUAACUGCUAAUUAAUUAGUGUUAUAAAAUUCCAUUUCUUUUCCACUUCUAUUUUCUUUGUAUUCUCGAUUUUUUCAUUAUUUUUUCAUCAUUCUUAUUCUUUUUUUACCUUUCUUCUUCCUUUAUCCAGAUUCCACCCGAAACUUUUAUUUCUUCUUAAAUUACUUUUCUCCUUCAUUUUUUUUUUUAUUUCUCCAAAAUUUCUCUUUUUUUCAAACCCUAGAUUUUUUUAAUCCCAAAUCCCGUACUAAACCAAAAUCUACAGUGAAAUCGAAGGUUAAUGUGAAAAAUAAGAUUGAAUUGAGGUUUAAUGGCAGAAAUCCAGAUUAAUGGCUUUUACCCAUUUUUUAUUUUUUAUUAUUAGUUCAAGUCUUUAAUUAAAUUGAUAAUUAAAUUAGGCUUAAUUAAUUAGCCACGUGUCUUAAACUUGGUAUAUUUAAAGCUAAUUAGAAGCAUGCAUUAUACUCAAUAGUAAAAAUUCGACGAUGAAUUUUUAAUAAUUAAGAAGAUAUAGUUCGGGGGUUUUAAAGACACAAGAUAAUUUAAGUAAGAAACUGACAAAAAUAUAAUAGUUUAUAGUGGUUUUCGGAUAUUAACUUUUAUAUUUACACUGUACUCAGAAAGGAAUAAAAGGAUGAAAAUUUUCCUUUGUUAGGUGAAAUCGCCUUCAUGUUUUCACUUGCCUUAACAGUGAUUCAUACUCACAAAAAACGGUCUGGCAUUGUGGAUAGUAUUCGCGUAGUGACAAAUGUUUGCUUCUCCUAUGAUCAACCUGCUAGAUAGAAUUACUCGAUAUCUUAUCUAGGAAAAUUAAAUUAGGAUUCAGUGAGGAUGAUAUAAAAUAGAAUAUAAGUUUAUAAUCUAUUUAAAAUUGGCGAAAACUUUUAGCGUACCUAUGACACGCUGAUGCUAGAACACCGGUGCUUGCUUGUAACGACCCAAUCGGACGUUUUGAGUAUUUGCACUUCGCUCGGUAGUUUACGGGUAUGAGUAGAUUCAUAUGAUGUAUUAUGACUUAUGUGAAUCGUCGGUUUUGGUUUUCAGGUUAUUCGGAAUCGAACUGGAAGAAUGGAUUUCAUGGUUUGAAGUUUUAAAUUGAAAAAGUUGAUCAAGUUUUACUUUCUUGUGAAUUUAAACCCGGAAUGGAGUUUUGAUGGUUCCGAUAGCUCCGUAUGAUGAUUUUGGACUUAGGAGCGUGUCCGAAAGAUUUUUUGGAGAUCCUUAGUGGAUUUUGGCUUGAAAUGGCGAAAGUUGAAUUUUUGGGAAGUUUGACAGGGGGUUGACUUUUUGAUAUCGGGGUCUGAAUCCGAUUAUGAAAAUUAGAAUAGCUCUGUUAUGUCAUUUAUGACUUGUGUGCAAAAUUUAAAGCCAUUCCGGAUUGAUUUACUAUGUUUCGGCACGAGUUAUUGAAUUUGAAAGUUCAAAGUUCAUAGAUUCGAUUUGAGGUGUGAUUCGUCGUGUUGAUAUUGUUAUGUGUGUUUCGAGACCUCGAAUAGGUCCGUAUUGUAUCAAGGAACUUGUUGGCAUGUUCGGACGGGAUCCCGAGGGGCUCAGGUGAAUUUCAGACGAGGUUAGGAUCAUUUCAUUGAAUUUUUGGAUUUUUGCUAAGCUGCUAGUUCUGGUAUGACCGCACAUGCGGUUGGUUUGCACAGGUGCGAUGGUCGCAGAAGCGACAAUGGAGUCGCAGGAACGGAGGUGUUUCUGGGAGCAGGAGUCCGCAGAAGCGGAGGAUUCAUUCGCAUUUGCGAAGGCGCAGAUACGGUGUGAAAGGGCGCAGGAGCGAACGUCAGCGCAAGAGCGCAAUUUGGACUCGCACCUGCGUGUGCGCAGCAGCAGAGUUUCUACCAUAGGUGAGAAGGCAGACCUCCAGUGCUUCUCCGUAGAAGCGUGUUUUUGGUCGCAAAAGCGACGCCGCAGAAGUGGCUAAUGUGUAGCAGGUGCGAGAAUACUGGGCAGAAUGCUUUAAAUUGAGGCUUUGGUUCUUUUAUCAUAUUUUGAGAUGUGGGACUCAGAUUGAGGCGAUGUUUAGAGCAAUCUUCAUCACAAGGAUUGGGGUAAGUGUUCUACACUUAUUCUUUUUCGUAUUUCAUGAAUCUAUCUUCAUUUUUUGGAAUUGAUUGAUGAAUCUUAAAGAGAAAUUGAGGGUUUUAGCCUAAAGUUUCAUAAUAUGAAUUUUUAAGUUUUGAAUAUCAAAUUGGAGUCGGAUUUGAGUGAAACUAGUAUGGUUGAACUCGUAAUUGAAUGGGUUGUUGGAUUUUGUAAAUUUUGUCAGUUUCGAGGUGCGGUCCCGGGUUGUGCUUUUGGCCGAUUUUGGGCUUUUGAUUCAAGAUUUAAUCUUUUUCAAUCGGGAUUAGUUCCUUUAGCAUUGUUUGAUGUACUUGAGUUGUUUUUGUUAGUUUCGAGCCGUUCAGAGGUCGGAACGCAUGAGAUGGUAUCUUUGGAGCAUCACUUGGAUUUCUCAACAUUAGUAUUGACUUGUUCGAGGUAAGUAACUCUUCUAAUCUUGGAGCUGAGGGUAUGAAACCCCGAAAUACGUGUUAUGUAAUUGGUAUUGAGGUGACGCACAUGCUAGGUGACGGGCGUGUGGGCAUGUACCAUGGGAAUUGAGACUCUGUUGUUUCCAUAACACUAUAUAGUGGUCCUACUUUGUUGAGGUCCGUGUUUUCACCAUGUGAUAAAGUAAUUGAGCCGUCAAUUAUGCUAAAUAUCAUGUUUAGGCUUUAUGACGAUACUGCUAGGACCCACAAUGGUCAUUUUUUUGCUGUCAUUUCAUUGAUAUUUUGUACUCAGUUAUAUUCAUACAUUCAUAUCAUAUCUCAGUCUCAGUUGUUAUUUAUAGAUACAUCAGAUCAUUAUUGUCGGGCUAGUCUCAUGACAUUGGUGAGACUGGAGAUAUUGAUGACUGAGUGAUGUCGGGGGCCUGUUUGUGAGGAUAUUGAUACUAUAGCACAUGAGUUGUCUGUGCAGCAUGUGAGUUGUCUGUGCAGAUCCAGAUAUUGAUACUAUAUCACGUGAGUUGUCGGUGCAGCACGUGAGUUAUCCGUUCGGAUCCAAAUAUUGAUAUUAUAGCACGUGAGUUAUCCGUGUAGCACGUGAAUUAUCCGUGCGGAUCCAGAUAUUGAUAUUAUGGCACGUAAGUUGUCCGUGCAGCACGUAAGUUGUCCGUGCGGAUUAUAGCACUUGGGUUAUAGGAGCCCCUCCAGAGUCUGCACACCCCCAGUGAGCGCAGUUGAUUAUAUAUAUGUGGAUCGGACUGCAUGCCACAGCAGAAAUUGUACAGUGCUGGGUGAUUGAGUGUGUUGAUCAUUGAGCAUAGGCAGAGGGAAUGCUAGACAGUGAGAUUGAUUACUCUGCGAGUGUGAGUACAUGAACUCAUCAUUGAGAUGCAUUGCAUUUAACAAGCGUACUUGAGAUACAUGCAUAGAGAUGCAUUUCCUUCUGCUACCGGGUUUUGGUGCCAUUUAUGACUUUACCUGUAUCUUGACAUGUAGGCAUAGAGACGUACUUUGCUCAUGCUAUCUGAAAAUGAAACAUCUUACUUGUUAUUGAAAGGAGUUUUGGGAAAAAUAAAAGUUUUCAAACUUACUCGUAUUUUGGCAUUUUUGGUAAAAGAUUUGGGUUUUCAUUGAGAUACUUGAAAAGUAAUACCUAUUUUUCUGGAACUGUGAACGAACUGGGCAUUUUAUUUCUAAGAUACCUCUUUUGUUAUGUGUACUAUGUUUUUAUGAACUGUUGUGGAAUAUUAGUGUUGGACCCGACCUUUGUGUUAGCUCGUCACUACUUUCAACCUAAGGUUAGGUUUGUUACUUAUUGAGUACGUGGGGUCGGUUGUACUCAUACUAUACUUCUGCACCUUGCGUGCAGAUGUUGGCUACUGAUAUUGAUGUGUUCGAUAUGAGCUGGAUUUGAAGUUGUACCUGUGUCCCGGUUGUAGCUGCCUCUUGUUCAUGAUAGCCUUAGGUCUAUAAAACUCUGUUAAUGUAUUAUUUUUCAAACAGAUGAUGUAUUUACUUUAUUUCAGCUUUGUAAACUCUAUUCUUAGAAGCUCAUGAUUUGUACUACCAGUCCUUGGAGAAUGUAUCAGAUUCAGAUAUUUGUUUACUUAAUUGCUUAUUUAAUUGUUAUUGGAAUUAGUUAGUGGUUAAUUGGCUUACCUAAUGGGUUGGGUUAUGUGCCAUCACGACUAGUCAGAUUUUGGGUCAUGACAUUGCUGCUCUUGUCAACACGGGAAUGAUUCUGAAGCUCUCACUUUCUCUGAAAACUGUUUCAUCGUAGAACGGUUAUACGUAAAUUAGCUCAAAGUUAUUAACAAAAUGUAUAGAAAAUGUAUGUAAUUGUAACGACCCGACCGGUCGUUUCGAGUAUUACAACCCUGUCUUCCCAUUUACUGCUCAAAUUGUGCUUUACGGUUAUUAUUUGACUUUUCGAGGUAAUUGAUUCGGGUCCGGUGAGAAUUUGGAAUGAUUUAGAAUACUUAGUUCCAAGGUUUAGAACUUAAGUUGAAAAGUUUGGCCGGACGUUGACUUAUGUGUAGCGACCCCGGAAAAGUCUUGCUAAGAAAAUUAAGGUUUCAUGGUGCCGAAGUAGGUUUACGUGUUUGAGAAUGCGUCGGGGAAUAAAGAAUUUUUUUGCCGAAAAAAGUCAUUUUUGCGGCCCACUAUGUGGACCGCAUAAUGGCCGCAGAGUGAAUCAGAGGUGGGGCAAGUUUGGAGGAAGGUCGGCGGCACAUUAUGCGACCGCAGACCAGUUCUGCGGUGCAUUAUGCUAUUGCAGAAUAGGUCUGCGGACCGCAUAAUGGCUGCAGACUGAAAUAAUGUUGCCUUUUUCCGGAGGGCCUUUUUGCGACCGAUUAUGCGGGCCGCAUUACGAUUAUGCGGUACGGUCUGCGAUAGCAGACCCGAUUUCGGCAAGUUUAAGUUUUAAAAAUUUUACCCGAUCCUAUUUUUAUAAAAAGGUAUUGGGGGUCAUUUUGAAGAGUUUUAUCUGAUAUUUUAGAGAGAGGUGAGAGCAUCUUUGAGAGAGAGAAAGUGAAGACCUAGUCAUUUGUCCAUCAAUUCUUGUUCAAGGUUUAAAAUUUUCAUAAGGAUCUUGCUAGGAUUUCAAAGAGGUAAGAAUUUCUAACCCUAGUCUUCAAUUUCACGUUUGGGUAAAGAUGGGUGAUUAGGAGUAGGAUUCUUGGGUGUGAGAGUAUUAUUUAUACAUACACGUACCAAUAAGAUUUGUGGAAAAAUUAUUGAGUUCAAAUGGGUAAAGAUUGGGUUGAAAAUGGUAGAAAUCUUCAAAGACUUUAAUUGAAGAUUUGAGGGUCGAGUUGAUGUCGUAAUUUGGUGAAAUUUGUAUGGUUGGAAUCGUGGUUGGAUGAGCAUUCAUAGUUUGUAAUUUUUGUCGGGUUCCGAGACGUGAGCCCCACGGGCAAUUUUUGAGUGCAAUUUCGGAUUUUAUUGGAAAAUUAGUAUUUUCAUAUGAAAUUGAUUCCAAUAAUUUAUUUUGACUGAAUCAAAUUAUUUGUGGCAAUAUUCAAGGCGUUUGGAGGCCGAUUUGCGAGGCAAAGGAAUUGCAGAAUAAAGAAUUAGACAGUUUGAGGUAAGUAACAGUUCUAAAUUUGGUCCUGAGGGUAUGAAACCCUAGAUUAUGUGUUAUGUGAUUGGUUUUGAGGUGACGAGCGUGUGGGCAUGCACCGUAGAAAUUGUGACUUGGUCAAUUCAAUGGAACUGUGUAGUUGAAUGACCUGUUGAUAUCCGUACAAUUUCUAUGUGUUAGAAAAAUUGAGAUGAGACUCGUAUUAAAAAUAAUGCUUAGGCAUAUGCUGUUAUUAUUGGUACCCAUUGGGGUCAUUUCUACGAUUGAAUUAUAUGUUCAAAUUGUAAUUUCACACUCAGUCAUGUUCAUUCAUUUCAUAUCAUAUCUUAGUCUCUAUUGCUAUUUAUUGAUACAUCAUAUUAUCAUUUUUUGGCUGAUUUUAAUGACGUUUUGAUCCCGAGAGACUCGAGAGGUUAAUGACUGAGUGAGGCCGAGGGCCUGAUUGUGAGGAUAUUUAUGGGAUCGGACUGCACGCCACAGUAUGAUUCAUUGAUGUAUGCCAUGAUUGGCUUGUUAUAGCGCUUGGGUUGAAGGAGCCACUCCGGAGUCUGUACACACCCCUAGUGAGCGCAGGUACCUACUGAGUGCGAGUGCCGUGUGCUGAGUGAUUGAGAGGAAUGAGUGAUUGUGAGGAAAGAGUGAUUAUGAGGAUGGAGUGAAUGGGAGGACUGGCUGACUGCUGCUCUAAGAGGAUGCAUUGAUUUUAUUGUUGUUACACUUCAGCUGUCAUAUAUCACUAUUUUGGAAAUUUCUUAAAGAUAUUAUCUCCUUUUUCAGUCGAACUUGAUAUGAAAUUACUGUUGAGUUUUAAAUGGGAAGCAUGAAAGCAUACCUAUCUUCUUAUGUUGGAAAUUUCUGUAAUUGGACUUAGCAGUGAAGCUCGUCACUAUCUUCAGCUCUUUAUUUAGUAUUGUUACUUGCUGAGUUGGUUGUACUCACACUACAACCUGCACCUUGUGUACAGAUCCAGGUACUUCGGGACAAGGCGAUUGCUAGUUUUUCGAAGGUUUUUCCGUUGGAGACUAUCGAGGUAGUUGAUUGACGUCCGCAAAGCUUGACUCUCUUUCCUUUUAGUUUUUGUAUUGUUCUAUAUUUUUAGACAGUGUUUUAUCAGUCAGACAUUGCUAUCAUUUAGAUGCUCAUGUACUCAGUGACACCGGAUUUUGGGUGUGUUUGUAUCGGUAUUUGCGAGAUUUUUGUGUUGUAUUUAAAUAUUAUGUUUUCAAACUUAAAGGAAAUCGUGAUUUAUUGAGGUUGUCGGCUUGCCUAGUAUUAAGAUAGGCGCCAUCACAACAGGUGUAAUUUUUGGAUCGUGACAGUAAAAGAAAAAUCUUUUGAUGUAUUUCACUUCAUCUUCCGGUCUCUGUAUGUCAGGACGUGUAGGAUCACUAGCAGCAAACUCCAUGUAUGACAGAUGAUGAAAGUUAGUUCAAAGCGACUUGGAAGAUAAAUGCAUCUGCAUAUAGAAGUGUAGGAAAUAGGAAAAUAGAAGGUCAACUAUAAAAACAUUUAUAUGAGUAGUCUUUGUCAAGUUUUAGUACUUCUGUUAAAAACUAGAAAGUGAAAUUUACACAUACUGUAUAUACAAUAAAUGAUUCUUUGGAUACUUGGAUUUCUUACACUAUCAAGCUGGUCCUCAAGAAAUGGAGGAGGGAGUUUAGGUAUUCUAUCACAUUUGGACUUCCUAAGAUCAUGUUAAGGAGAAAAUAUCUAAUGUGUUGACAUUUCUANNNNNNNNNNNNNNNNNNAAAAUAUAAACUGUGUUAAAGUCACCAUAUUAGCGCUACGAUCUUCCAAAAUUGGACCAGAAGGGUGAAAUAGUACUUAUACUUGACGGAAUGAAUUUUCAAGUAUUCUAUAUACCCGCACAUUUUAAAUUGUUUGAGGUAUAUUUGGACUUUUAUACUUAUUUAUGACACGAACUCACAAAACAUGCACGUGGAAAAUGCACACCACGUGCACUCACCAAAAAUGCACAAAACAUGCACAUCACUCACGAAAAAUGCACAACAAUCUAGCUGGAGGAAACAUCUGAAUUUUCAUAUAUGCCAUUUUGCUGCCAGGCUGAUUUCGCUAGAUACCAGAAUAAAUCAAGGUAGAAGAGAAAGUAAAUGGCACCGAGCACGCUGCAUACUAAUAUGAAACCAAUAAUAUAAGUUUAUGAAAUUAUAGUCUCCCAAAAUUGUAUGGGGUAAAAUAUGAUAUGUUACGUGUCCGUUUGAGAAGAGGACAUAUGGAGUCGAAACCGGGAGGAAUGUAAAAUAGGGCACAAUCAUCUCGUGUGUCGCCGAAAAGGGGCAAUUCCGUAAAGGGAUUGAGCAUGCUGCGCCCGGUGCUAUUUACUGAAGAAUAUUCCACAGCAUUAAAGAGUAACGACUCAUUAAUAAGAUCUGAGCAUCUAUGUUUACCGUUAAUUUUUAUUAUCACAUUCCAAUAAUUGUCAUUAGUGGUGGGCCCGACCAUUACGCCCACUGAGCUAUAAAUAAUAGGUUCAACCAUCGUUGUAAGAGAUCCUUGGGAGAAGACAUUCUAUAGAACAAUCUAAUUCCUUUUUCUCUCUCGCUCGCUUGUGAAUCUUAUCAUCACUGUGUCCGGAAACCUUGUUCUCGGGCUCUUUGAAUCUAUCAUUCCAUCUACAUUUUGAGCUAAGUAUCUUACAUGUAAAUCGAUUAAUUCAUGAUCUUUGGAAUCUAAUUGACUCAUCUGUCUAGAAACUAAGAACAAAUUUAGUUGUACCGAUUUACGGGUAAACAGUUUGGCGCCAACCGUGGGGCUUAGACAAUCGUGUGGUUAAGUUAAUUCUUACUUUUCUCACUCACAAGCUUUGAUCAUUCUUGUCUUAGCAAGAUCACAAAAAUGGCAAUCGAUACCAUCAACAACCCUCACGGUCCUGUAGUUCAAGGGGAAAACCCUCAUCUAAAGGACUCAAUCAGCGACACUCGCAAUGAAGGAGAAGAUGCCAUGCCGAUGUAUGAUAGGCUAUACCCUAGACAAGUACGGGAGGUGACUCCAGAUGAUGCUGACCAAGAGCACGUAGCAGAUGUGGUAAGGAUCCUGCAAAAAUAACAUGCAAUCAUUCUAGACCACCUCACGCGGCAGGAUCAGGCGAUGACAGAGUUAAAACAUGCACUAUCAGGCGCUUCAAAUAAUGCAAACGGGCGAGAUACAGUUCCUCCCGCUGUUCCUACAAACCAAACAAUGCAGAGAAUCGGCAACAACACUCCCAGGAGUGAAGCUGGCUCCGACGGGGCUGGGGGUAGCAGAUAUGGCCUCAACAAUGAUGACGAUCCAUUCAAGGAGGAAAUCUUGCGGUUCAUGAAGGAAGUAAACGCCCGGAUGGAUCAAAUCCCGGGCGCUCCCCCGGUGUUGAAAGGCCCAAGCUCGAAAAGGUACAUCCAAUUUCCGUACAAGCUGAAUGCAGCCCCGAAACCGAUACCAAAACGAUUCAGAAUGUCUGAAGUGCCAAAAUACGAUGGGACCUCAAAUCCACAGAAAAUGAUCUGGUUCCUCACGAAAUCGAGUCCGUGCUAUUGAAACAAUUUGGGGAGACUCUUACAAGGGGAGCCUUGACAUGGUACUUAUUAUUUCCAAAGCAUUCCAUAGAUUCCUUUGAAAUGCUCGCGGAUUUAUUCAUCAGGGCCCAUGCCGGUGCUAGGAAGGUACAAGCCCGGAAGGCCAACAUAUUCAGGGUCGCACAGGGAGAGUCUGAAUUAUUACAGAGAUUCGUUAGCCGUUUCCAAAGAGAAAGUAUGUUGUUACCGCUUGUACCAGACGAAUGGGCGGCUGAAGCGUUCACAAAGGGCUUAAAUCCGAGAAGCUCAGAUGCUUCCCAAAAGUUGAAGGAAAGUCUACUCGAGUUUCAUGCAACAACUUGGGCAGAUGUCCACAAUCGGUACGAGUCAAAGAUAAGGAUCGAAGAUGAUCAGGUAGACUUCCCAUCAUCAGUAAAAGGAUGGGAGAAGAAUAAGGAAAAAAUGAGAGAUGAUGUCGACUCAAAUAGACGAGGUCCAAGAGGGUGGUUCCUACCUUACGAGCAGACAGAAGGUCACAGCAGGAGCUUCCGGUCGGUGGACAAGUUUAUCAGUGACAGGAGAACUGAUCGCGGGAGGAAUAACAGACCGCUGCAGGAUAGAGAGACCCCGGGGCCACAAGAUCCUUCCUAUCCAAAGUUAUCAGAAUAUAACUUCAACAUCAGUAUGGUAGAGUUAGUGACGGCCAUGAAAGACAUCCAAGAGGUGCGGUUCCCGAGGCUAAUGAGGUCCGAUCCUGGCUAGAGGGACCCAAAAUUAUGGUGUGAAUAUCAUGGCUCUAAUGGCCACAGGACCGGGGACUGCCGACACCUCCGAGAAGAAGUGGCAACGCUGUUAAAGAACGGAUACCUCAGGGAAUUCAUAAGUGCUCGGGCCAAAAAUAAUUAUGGUCGGGAUAGGGACAACGCACAAACUCCGAGAGCAAGAUAGGAACCUCUAUGCCAAACGAUCAACAUGAUCUUCGGAGGGAAUGAGGUUAACGGAAUAACCUUCUCGGCCGCAAAAAUGACAAGAGUAUCGACAACUCAAAGUAAGAGGUUCCGAGAGGACGAUAUUUACGUUCAUGGAUGAAGACGCAGACGGAUUACUACAGCCACGCAAUGGUAAUUUCUUUAAAUGUGUUAAAUUUCAAAAUUAAGCGUGUUUUAGUGGAUCUAGGAAGUUUCGUCAAUAUCGUUCAAUGGAGAGUUCUAGACCAAGCUAAACUCACCGGGAGCAUCAUCCAAACAACAAAGCUCCUAGCUGUAUUCAACCUCGCAAGCAUGACAACCCGAUGGGAGAUUUUGUUGCUUACAGAUGCCGAGGGCCUAACAAUGACGGCUCUCUUCGAAGUAGUAGAUAGGACAUGGGAUAUAAUAUCAUCAUGGGAAGGACAUGGUUGUACGAGAUGAAAGUUGUGCCUUCAACGUACCACCAAUUGCUGAAAUUUCCAACACCGGAGGGGAUCAAGUGGAUAAUAGGUGAUCAACAAGUGGAUAGGGAGAUGAAUGCAAUCUCGGUCUCCCAUAGCAGGGGAAAAGAACCUGCGUCAUAGUAGUUACCGGAGCCAACUUCCGACCACGAACUAGAAGAAAUUUCCCCGAGCACAAAAGAGUCGAAGCAACAUCAUGUACCGAGGUAUUUUCACGUACCGGAAGAAACGAACGCAAUGAAAUCCACGGCAGAAGAGCUAGAGCAGGUUACACUAUUCGAAAAAUUCUCGGAAAGGAUAUUUUAUUUGGGGACAGGACUACACCCGGAACUCUGGUCAGAAUGUAUCGAAUUCCUUAAAAUUAUCGCCGAUUGCUUUGCAUGGUCGUACGAGGAUAUGAUAGGAAUCAAGACAAAGAUAGCCGUACAAAAGUUAAGCUUGGACCCGAGCAUCCCUCCGGUAAGGCAAAAGAAGCGUCCUAUUGCAGAAGCAAGGAAUAAAUUCAUCAUAGAAGAGGUAACUCGCCUACUUAAGAUUGGUUCAAUCCGAGAGGUAAGAUACCCCGACUGGCUAGCUAAUGUAGUAGUAGUUUCUAAGAAAAAUAAUAAACUUCGCAUGUGCGUAGAUUAUAAAGAUAUUAAUAAAGCAUGACCGAAAGAUUCGUUCCCAUUACCAAAUAUCGAUCAAAUGAUCGACGCUACGACCGGGCACGAGUUAGUGAGUUUCCUCGAUGCCUAUUCCGGGUACAAUCAGAUUAAAAUGAACCCGGAAGACCGGGAAAAGACUUCGUUUAUUACAAAUUUUGGUACUUACUGUUACAAUGUAAUGCCCUUCGAACUAAAAAGCAUCGGAGCCACUUAUCAGCGGCUCGUAAAUAAGAUGUUUGAAAAACAAAUUAGAAAAACUAUGGAAGUAUAUAUAGACGAUAUGCUCGUUAAGUCACUAGAUGUAGGUAGCCACCUGAAACACCUGCAAGAAACGUUUGACACACUGAGGGAGCAUAAUAUGAAGCUUAACCCCGAGAAGUGUACGUUCGGGAUUGGUUCAGGAAAGAUCUUAGGAUUCCUAGUCUCACAAAGAGGAAUCGAGUUGAAUCCCGACAAAAUCAAAGCCAUAGAGGAUAUCCAGGAUCAACUAUUGAACGUAAAGGAAGUACAGAGACUCACAUGCAUAUUGGCGGCUCUAAGCAGAUUCAUUUUUCGAUCAUCGGAAAAGUGUCACCGCUUCUUCGCAUUGCUCAAAAAGAAGAAUAACUUCGAUUGAACGCCGGAAUGUCGACAAGCCUCGAAGGAAAAAAUACUUGUCGAGCCUUCCUUUACUCUCGAAGCCUAAAGAAGGAGAAACAUUGUUGGUCUACCUGGCGGUCUCGGAAGUUGCGGUAAGCACAGUCCUGGUCCGGGAAGAAAAAGGUACGCAAUCCCCUACGUAUUACGUUAGCAAAAUUUUGUCGGGAGCAGAAACCCGCUACCUAUAUCUGGAAAAAUUGGCCUUAGCCCUCGUGGUGGCCGCCCGGAAGCUGAGGCCCUACUUUCAGUGCCACCCGAUAGCGGCGGUGACUACUUUUCCUCUGAGGAAUAUCCUCCAUAAACCCGAGAUCUCGGGUAUAUUGGCCAAAUGGAUCGUCCAAAUGAGCGAGUUUGAUAUAGAGUAUAAGCCUCGGACUGCGAUUAAGUCGCAGGUUUUGGCUGACUUCAUAGCCGAUUUCAGCCCAGGGUUGAUGCCCUUGGCCUCCAAAGAGGCAAUAAUGGUGUCAGAGCCAACAUCGGGAGUCUGGACCUUAUUUACGGAUAGAGCUUCAAAUGUGAAAGGGUCCGGGCUCGGAAUAGUCCUGGUCACGCCUUCGGGGGAAACCUUAAGGCAAGCCAUCAGGACGGUUACUUUAACUAACAAUGAAGCGGAAUAUGAAGCAUUGAUUACAGGGCUCGAAUUGGCCCAGGGCUUCGACUCCAAAGCAAUCAACGUCAAAUGUGACUCGCAACUGGUGGUAAAUCAGGUCUACGAAAUUGAUACCAAAGAUGAGUGAAUGCAACAGUACGUGGUAAAGGUUCAGGCCUUAUUGUCAUGAUUCUAUGAGUGGUCAAUAACCCACAUCCCGAGGGAAGAAAACGUGGAAGCAGCUGCGUUAGCAAAUCUGGCUCAUUAACAGAAAUUCAGGGACCAGAAUCUGGGACAAUAGUUCAACUGAUGAACUCAGCCUUAGACACGAAGGGUUACUAUAAGGUCAAUUCGACCAACCUGGUCUGGGACUGGAGAAACGAGAUAAUCGAUUAUCUUGAACACGGGAAACUACCCAAGGACCCCAAGUCAUCGAGAGCACUGCGCACUAAAGUCGCACGAUACAGCUUUGAGAAAGGGAAGUUGUGCAGGAAAUCAUUCCAAGGCCCGCUGGCCCGAUGCCUAGGAGCAUCUGAAGCAAGCUACAUAAUGAGAGAAAUCCAUGAAAGAAUAUGUGGUAACCAUUCGGGUGCAGAUGCUUUGGUGUUGCAAUUAGUCCAAGCGGGAUAUUAUUGGCCCCACAUGGAACUAGAUGCCAAAGACUUUAUACGAAAAUAUGAUGAGUGCCAACGCCACGCACCUAUGCUAUAUCAACCAGCAGAACCGUUACAUUCGAUCUUGUCUCCGUGGCCAUUCAUGAAAUGAGGGAUGGAUAUUGUCAGACCUCUACCACCGGCUCCGGGAAAGGUAAUAUUUCUUUUAAUUUUUGACUAACUAUUUUUUCCAAAUGGGUGGAAGCAGGUCCUUACCAAAGGAUCGGAGGACGUGAGGUGGUCAACUUCCUAUGGGAGAAUAUAAUAUGCAGGUUCGGAAUACCUAAGGAAAUUGCAUGCGACACCCGGCCACAGUUUAUUGGUGCAAAAGUCACAAAAUUCCUUGAAUAUUUGAAGAUAAAAAGGAUUACCUCGUCACCGUACUAUCCGAGCGCAAAUGAACAGGCAAAGUCAACAAAUAAAAUAAUUGUGCAAAAUCUGAAGAAGAGGCUGGAAGCAGCAAAGGGCCACUGGCCCAAGGAAUUACCGGGGGGGGGGGGGGUAUUAUGGGCCUACCGAACAAAUGUUAAAUCAGGCACACGAGAAACUCAUUUUUCUCUUGUGUACGGUGUAGAAGCUUUGAUACCGGUGGAAGUGGGGGAGCCCACUUUAAGAUAUUCCCGGGUAAAUGAAGAAUCAAACAACGAUGUAAUGUUAAUCAACUUAGAACUGCUCGAGGGACGCAGGGACCUGGCACAUGUCAGAAUGGUAGCUCAAAAGCAGAGGAUGGAGCGAUAUUACAAUCAAAGAACCAACCUUUCUUACUCCAAAGUAGGGGACUUGGUCUUGAGGAAGGUGACUCAAAACACCCGAGAACUCAACGGCAAGUUAGUUUCCACGUAGGAAGGCCCUUUCCGGGUUUCAGCUAUCACCGGUAAAGGAUCAUAUGAGUUGUAAAAUCACAACGGAGACAAGUUGCCCAGCAACUGGAACGUGGCUCAUCUCAAAAACUAUUACUACUAACAAACAACAGUCAGACGGAAAGUAUGUGCUGCACUCUUUUGUCCUUCGUUCUGCUUUUUUAUCCUGAUUGGGUUUUUCCAGGAAAGGUUUAUUAACAAGGCGAAAACCAUAAAAAACAAUAAUGAGACCUAUUGAUUUUAAAUUUUCAUUCGGGAGCGAUAAGGUAAUCUUUGCUUCGUUAGCAAAUUCCCACCGGGAAGUUAAGUUUGCUGACAAAGCAAAGGUUACACGACCGUUCAUGAACAUUAACCACUAGAGGAUUGUCAGGUAUCCUUUCACUCAACAACAUGAAUUCCUAAGGGUAAAGCGAAAUAUGCUACCGAGCGAAGGGUUACGCAACAAUUCAUCGGUGGAACCUUCGAAGAUACAAGACUUCGAGUGUUCAAAAAUGCAUUCUUCGCAUUAGAACACUUGGGGGAGAAUACUGAUAUGAUUGCAAGGCAACACUGAAUGCGACGUCAACCGGGAACAAAAAUUCGGGAACAAAAUACAUACUCGGCAACACUAAAUGCCACAUCAACCGGGAACGAAAAUCCAGCAACAAAAUACAUACUCGGCAACACUGAAUGCCAUGUUAACCAAGAACGAAAAUCCGACAAGGCAACUCUGAAUUCCACACGCCAUCGGGGUCGGGGACUGCACAGACAACCCUGUAGAAACAAGUGUACAAAAAUAGUCACAAGUCUUGGAAAUUUCUUUUCUACGUAGCAAAAUGCCUACGUAAACUGUGAAAACAAAAGGAACAAAAUGAAAUCCAUCUUCUUUUAUCUUGUUUCUUGUUUGUACGAUGAGUUAAUUUUAUCAUUUGAAAUUUAAACAAGUACUUCAAAUGUUAGUGCCGUAAUGAACAGGAGACAUUCUCUUCAAGAGCACCGUAAACAUAAGAGGGUCCCCUCUUAUUAAAAUCCUCCUGUUAAAGGGUUUGUUCCAGAAGAAUAUAUGCCCGGAACCAAAAAUGCUAUUGGGGAAAAUACACCCGAAGCCAUAUAUAAAAAAUAUAUAUAAACCAAAGUUGCGCAAACACUCAUUGAAACCCCCACGAAAAAGGGGUUUCCUCGGAAACAAAGUGCAUCAAAGGAAAUGCAUCCGAGACCACAUACAGAAAACUAUGCACAGAUAUUCAAGCAAAAGCAAGACUCAAUCAAACAUUUGAGCAAAAAUAUGUCCUCAUUUACAAGAAUAUGCCAAAAGAAAUACAAAACAAGGAAAGAAAAAAACUAAACUACAACGUCGCUAGAAUCGGAAGGAAGAGAAGAAUCUGCAUCCCCGGGAACAGUAGUUGGUUCAACCGAUGGCUCAACAUCUUCCCCAGCUUGGUUCUUGGCAUCAUCGCGUUCCGAUUCUUCUCCAGUAUCUGAAAUUUUGGAAACAGAAUCAGAAGAACAAGGAGCGCCAGACCGCGCUGGGAGCCCAUUUUCUGCAUCAAACUCAAGCUCACAUGCCUUGGCCAUUUCUGCAUAAAUAUCAAUAGCGUCUUCUUUGGCGUCUUCCAAGGUUUUUCUCCUCAUGUUGUACAUGGCGUAAGUUUUCUCAAUAAUGAGGGAAGUUUCUCCGCGCUUGAGUUCUUCUUUGGGCUCGGUGAUCUCGGUGGAAAGACUAUCCCGGGAGGAUAUAGCGGCCUGAAGGCUAACAUCAAGAUCUCGGAUAGUUGAACUAUAGAGCUUGUUAUGCUCAAUAGUUUUCUUAUUCUUCUCCUCCAACCGGGCAUAUCUUGCCUCCGCAGCAGUAAGCUCUUAAACCUUACAAUGCAAGGCUACUUCUAAGUUAGUUAUCCUUUCAGUAGCAGCAGCCUCAUGGCCAUUGGGAGCAAGAAUGGAAUCGUGAACCUCAGCCCAUUUGGCUUUCACUUCGUCAAAGCUAGUCUUCAGCGGCGCAAUUUCAUGGCUAAGGAUAUCUACUUCCUACUCACUUUGAUACAAGCGGGCUUCCAAAAUAUCCGCCUCAGUGGCCCUGAUUUCCAAUUCCGAGAGACGAAGAACAUUCUGGUCCCGUUCCGCCAGAAGUCGAUCCCGUUCAGAAGAAAGUUCCUCUUUCUCACGGAUUAGCCUUUGAAGGCCUUCGGAAGCAAGAAAAUUGUCCUGCAGGAUAAGAAGAGGUAAAACUUAAAAUGCACUCAUUCAAAAGCUGAAAAAUAACAGAAAAAGGAAGAAAUAUACCGCAGCGGCAUUAUGCAUGGCAUUAUUCAACAAACACUCUCCCGAGAGUGUUUGUAUUUUUUCCCAAUCCUUCCCUGAAGCCAUGGGCUUCAGGUAAUUUGCAAGCUUCACCAGCCGGGAAAGAAGGUUGCACUUAGUAUAGACUGAAAGGGUAACAUUCCUCCUCCUAUGAGUAUCUUCAGAAGGGGUAGCAUAAUUUUGCCCCAAAAUCCCGUGAAAAGGGGACUGUGGAAGAGGAACUCCCUUGUCAUGGUCAGGCGCGGCCGUUGGAGAUGACGCUAUUGGUGGAAGCAUGGAUGAAGACAGAAAAUAUGUAGUAGCUGCCGGUGGUGAAGAAGGUGGUGAUGAAGCAGGUAAAGGAGAAUAACGAGAAACAGAUGCAUCGAAGGCAACAUUGAUUGUCGGGUGCUCAACAACCGAGGACGGCAAAGUCCCGAUACUCUACCUCACGGUACUAGGUACAACAAUUGGGGCUCGAGAACGGGAAUUAGCAUUUUCCACCAAAUCAAACUGUUACAACCCAAAAUCCAACUAGCCGUGAUGGCACCUAACCCAACCCGCUAGGUAAGCCAAUUAUCAACCAUCAAAUUCCAAUAACAAUAAUUAAAGCAAUUUAAGUAAAUAAAAAUCUUAAUUUUAUACAUUCCCCAAGAACUGGUAGUACGAAUCAUGAGCUUCUAAGAAUAGAGUAUACAAAGCUGGUAUGAAGUAAUACAUCUGUUUGAAAAGUAUAUAAACAAAGUUUUAUGAAUCUAAGGCUACCAUGAACAAGAGGCAGCUACAACCGGAAUGCAGGUACAUCUUCAGAUCCAACUCCCAACGAACACAGCAACAAUAACAGCUAACAUCUGCACGCAAGGUGCAAAAGUUUAGUAUGAUUACAACCGACCCCAUGUACUCAAUAAGUAACAAACCUAACCUUAGGUUGAAAGUAGUGACGAGCUUGUACCAAGUUCGGAUCCCAACUUCAAUAACCAACAAUAGUUCAUAACAACAUAAAACAAGUAAUACCAGAAGUAACUCAACAAUCAAAUGCUCAACAAAAACGUGAUUUCUGAAAAUAGUUCUGCCUUUCAAGUACAUCAAUGAAAACCCAAAUUUUACCUGAGUUUCCAAAAAUAUGGAUAAGUUUGAAAAUAAUAAUUUUCCCAAAACCUUUCAAUCAUAAAUAAGAUGUUUUAAUUUCUUUCCAGAUAACCAGUGUAAAACAAAUGUAUUACUAUGCCCAUCUGCCAACAUGUGUGAGAAAUCAUGAAUGAUCUGAUACCGUACAGUAUGAGGAAAAUACAUCUUUAUGCAUGUAUGUCAUGUCUGCAUGUCAAUACAAUGUAUCUCAGAGAUGAACUCAUGUACUCACACUCUCAGAGUACUCAAUCUCAAUUUCUCACGCAUUCCACUCAUCAAGCCCAAUCACUCGGUACUGUAUAUGACCAAUCCGGUCCAGGGAAGAAUUAUCCCGGAAUAUACACAUCAACUGAUCAUCAGUCACUCAGUACCGAGCAGGGCCAAUCCAGCCCGUGGAGAAGAUACAUCUCCAUGUAUAUAAUGCUUCGAACAAGAUCCAUGUCCAAGGAAGACAUAUCCCUAAAUAAUAUCAACCGCGCUCACUAGGGGUGUGCAGACUCCGGAGGGGCUCCUACAGCCCAAGCGCUAUAAUCCGCAUGGACAACUAACGUGCCAUAGUAUCAAUAUCAGAAUCAAUCAGGCCAUCGACCUCACUCAGUCAUCAAUCUCUCCAGUCUCUCUCUCACGGGCUCACAAUGUCAAGAAACUAGCCCAGAAAUGAUGAUAUGAUAUAUCAGUAACUAACAAUAGAGACUGAGAUAUAAUAUGCAAUAAAAUGAGUAUGACUGUGUAUGAAAUUUCAAUUUAAACAAAUAUUUCACAGCAAUAUGACCUCUAUGAGUCUCAAUAAUACUGGAACAUAGCCUCAGCAUGAUUUUUAGUAUGAUUCUCAGCUCAAUUUCUUUAACACAUAAAAGUGCAUGAAAAAUGCCAAGAUUAUUUGACUACAGAAUUCCACGGAAAUAAUUAAGUCACAAUUUCUAUGGUGCACGCCCACACGCCCGUCACCUAGCAUAUGCGUCACCUCCAAACAAUUCACAUAAUACGUAUAUUCAGGGUUCAUACCCUCACCUCCAAGAUUAGAAGAGUUACUUACCUCGAACAAGGCAAUACCAAUGCCGAGCAAGCUAAACAAUGCUCCAGAAAUUCCAUUUUGCGCGUAUCAACUUCCGAACAGCUCGAAUCUAGUCAUAAUUAAUUUGAUUCAGUCCACACAAUUAUAGGAAUUAAUUCCAUAACAAAAUAAUAAUACUUUCCCACAAAAUUCGAAAUUACACUCCAAAAAUCUCCCGUAAGGCCCAUAUCUCGGAAUCAUACGAAACUCACAAAAUCUGAUAGCCCAUCCAAUUACAAGCUCAACCAUACUAAUUUCAUUCAAUUCUGACUCCAAAUCGAUGUUCAAAACUCAAAAUUCGUUUUAUGAAAUUAUAGGAAUUUCCUUCGAUUUCUCUUGAAGAUUCGAUAAUCAUAUACUAAAAAUGAAGAUUAAUUCAUGAAAUAUAAUCACAAGGAAGUCAAGAACACUUACCCCAAGUUGUGUGGAAACAUUCCUCUCCAAAAUCGCCCAAAUCGAGCUCCAAAAUCCGAAAAUGAGUGAUACUAUCGAACCCUCAAACUUAAAGGGUUCAGCCCAGGCUUUUCGCACCUGCGCACCCACUUCUGCAGAAAAAUAUCGCACCUGCACUGCCCGACUUCCUCACCAUUUUCCUCUUCUACGAAUCCCUGCCCGCAUCUGCGCAAUCGCAGGUGCGAAAAUCCUAUCGCACCUGCAACCUCUGCUGACACCCUCCAACGCCGCACCUGCGCUCGAACUGCCGCACCUGCGGCCUCGCACAUGCGGCCAAGACCCUCGCAUAUGCGAUCACUCUAGAAGUCUAUAUUCAGAACAUUCAAAUUCUAUAUUUUGUACCGAAACACAUCAAAUCAAUUCAGAAUGGCUUUAAAUUUUGCACACAAGUCAUAAAUGACAUAACAAAGCUAUUUCUAUUUCCAGAAUCGAAUUUCGACCCCGAUAUCAAAAAGUCAACCCCCUGGUCAAACUUCCCAAAAACUUUAACUUUUGCCAUUUCAAGCCUGAUUCCACUAUGGACCUCCAAAUAAUUUUUCAGACACGCUCCUAUGUCCAAAAUCACCAUACGAAGCUACAAGAAUCAUCAGAAUUCGAAUCCGAGGUCGUUUACACAUAGAUCAAUAUCCGGUCGACUUUUUCAACUUAAGCUUUCCAUUUAAGAGACUAAGUGUCCCAUUUCACUCUAAAUUCUCUCUGGACCAGAACUAACUAACCCGAUAAGUCAUACAAUAGCUAUAAAGCACAAAGGAAGUGGUAAAUGGGGGAACGGGGCUGUAAUACUCAAGACGACCGGUUGGGUCGAUACACAAACUCUCUCUAAAGUGCCGAGACAUUAUCCUCGACGGAUGUGACUACAUCAACAGGUUGAGCAUCAUGUUGAGAGGAUAAGGAUUGUUGUCUUCUAUGAAGAGAAGCUCCCUCAUCACUAGCUUCUUCAUCAUCAAUCACUACAGUGUUUAUGACCGGCCCAGAGAGAGGACCGGUCGAUUUUGCCACCGAAGAUGAUUCAGUUGUAUCGAUCUUUGCCCUCUUAUUCUUCACCCCGGUCGCAGAGGAAUGCCUUAUUUUUGGUUGCUUGUUCUCUGGCCGGGGACUCGACGUAGAACCGGAGGCACCCGUUCGAGCAAGCGCCUGUUGGAGCAGCCUCGCCGCAUUAGCAGGGUCAGCCAAAACAUCCUCUUCGAGGAUCUCGACCGAGCCCGGGGGUAGACCUAAUUUGGCAAACAAGUUAGGGGAUUCAUCCGAAAUUCACAUAUAUAAAGACUGAAGCAUAGUAAAUUAUAGUUACCAUAAUAUUUGGCCAUCCACCUGUAUUUAAUGGAUAGCUCUUUCCAUAAGCGGAUUUCGGGCGUAGUGAUGUCCAAAAUCUUUUGAACCCACCGGUCCAAACCUUCUAUCACCGGUGGAACCCAACAGGUCGCUAUAGCAUACAAAAGUUGAGAGGGCCAAUACAAACAUAAAAAGAAUUUUGAAGAGGAGAAUGUAUUAAAGGGAACUUACGGGAACGAUUUCAAGCGACCGGAAAGGAUGUUGUCGUUGUUUGAAUGAUAUCAUCGGAUGCUACUGCAACGAAUUGUUCCAUCCACCCUCAAUCAUUAUCAUCAUCCAUGCUUGAUAUAAAAUCAUGAUGAACACACUUGCAGAGAUUUAUCAUUCCCCCGCGGAAGUUCUUGGGUGGAUACAAGUUCAUCAUGUGGGCCAAGGACAACUCCUUUCCGGUUUCAGAACACAAGCGCAGGAGGUAGGCAACCGUCCUCCACACAGAGGGGCUUACCUAUGCCAAACAUACCAGAUAGCGGAGGCAAAAUUCUGCUAUCAAGGAAUCAAGCUCCCCAGUCAAAGAAAACGUACUCAAGGUAAAAGGGUACGUAUAAAAAUAUGUGAAACCCUCUCUGGGAAGGUUCACUCGCUCCGACAGAUCGGGAGCGAUGAUGUCCAAAUUUGGGCAGCGGCAAUCUUCCUUCACAGUAGGGAUACUAGAAGGACGGAUGAAAGAUGUGUACCUACUAACCGCCCAUGUACGGGGGUUAUCUGUAGGACAUUUCUCCUCGAAAUCCUUCAAAAUACUGAGCCUUUUGGGGAUUAUGGAACUCACUGUUGGAGGAACAGAGUCUUCGUUUUUGUUCUUAUUUUUGGAAGAACCAGAGCGUUUAGAUGAAGAAGCCAUUGGAAGAGGUGAAUGAAAGAUUCUGUGUUUUAGGAAAAUUAAGGGGGAAACGUAAAACAUGAAUGCAGGCGGAAGUUUAAGAAACAAGUGAAACUCAAAAGAGAAGGGAGUUCGUACGUAUAGGUGAAUAUUUUGGCAGCUAAAAUACUUGGCUCUAAUUACCUCGAUAAUCGGCGGAAGGCGUGCUAAAUCAUAAGAGGACGCGUGUUCUAGGCAAUAAAUACAGAGGGGCAGACGUCUAAUCAAUCGUUAAUAACCUACAAAAGGAAUUAUUGUAUUUCCGGUCAAAGGAAGAUUCUCACAAACUUCCCGGUAACACAAAGUUAUAUUACCGGAAAGCAAGGGAACUAUCUGUAUGGGAUAAAAUAUGGUAUGUUACGUGGCCGUCUAAGAAGAGAACACAUGGAGUCAAAAUCGGGAGGAAUGUAAAACUGGGCACAAUCAUCUCAUGUGUCGCCGAAAAGGGGCAAUUCCGUAAAGGGAUUGAGCAUGAUGCGUCAGGUAGCAUUUACUGAAGAAUAUUCUACAUCAUUAAAGAGUAACGACUCAUUAAUAAGAUCUGAGCAUCUAUGUUUACCGUUAGGUUUCCAUUAUCACAUUCUAGUAAUUGUCAUUAGUGGUGGGCCAAACCAUUACGCCCACUGAGCUAUAAAUAAUAGGCUCAACCAUCAUUGUAAGGGAUCCUUGGGAGAAGUCGUUCGAUACAUUCUAUACAACAAUCUGAUACAUUUUUUUUCUCUCGCUCGCUUGUGAAUCUUAUUAUCACUGUAUACGGAAACCUUGUUUCCGGGCUCUUUGAAUCUAUCAUUCCAUCUACGUUUUGAACUAAGUAUCUUAGAUAUAAAUCAAUUAAUUCAUGAUCUUUGGGAUCUAAUUGACUCAUCUGUCUAGAAACCACGAACAAAUUUAGCUGUAUCGAUUUACGAGUAAACAAAAACUAAAUUUGUAAACCACGAGUAGCUAUUUUGAUUGUUGUAAAUUUAGGCUCGAUCAAAUAAAUGAAAACAAUAUCUUUACGCAAAAGGGUCCGUGUACAGUCCUAUAUUCUAUAUGAAUUUCAGUAUUUGGCUUAUUGCACUUAUACUCCUCUCCUUUUCUUUUCCCCAACGGUCAUGGUAUUUGACAGAGAUAUUGUUGAGAAUGUUGUUGGUGUCAUUGGUUAGUUUGAAAUUUAAUUUUCUUUAGCUUCCUUGGAGAAGGGGAAAAAAAAAAACACACGCAACCACAUACACUACAAGUAUUAUUUCUCACUGUAUAGUUAAUUAAGAAUUCUACAUGUAUAUAUAAAAGUGGCUGUGGGGUUUGUAUUCAAAACAUGUUCUAUUUCACUCCCCGAUGAGGGUUCUUUUCACCCAUCCCUCAUGGUACUACUUCGCUAUCGGUCACCCAGGAAUAUUUAGCCUUGUAAGGUGGUCCUUGCUGAUUCACACGGGAUUCCACGUGCCCCAUGCUAUCGGUAUGUAUAUAUUUCUUUAUCCUAUAAAACAUAUAUAAUAUCUGCUCCAAAGUUAUUGCACAACUUUCGUUUCGAUCAAUUGUAGGACUAAUAAAUAGCUUUUCGCGUUCAUCCAUGGUUUAAGCAAGGUUCGCACCCUAAAAGGAUGUAAUAUAGGGUGUCUAUCCUGAUACAAGUAUCACUAACUGAUUUCAUGGCUCGAACCGGUGACCUAUAAAUCUCAGAGAAACAACUUUACCGUUACCUCAAGGUUUCCUUCAACUGCCAAAAGUUUUACUAUCUCAGAAAUAAUUCGUAAAGCUAGCUAUUUCAGUGGCUGCUACAAUUAGUUAAUAUCAUCACAUGCAUCUACAAAGCCCCAAUACCCAAUUUGGUAUACCAUUUUAAACAUUUCACUAGAAAAGGUGCUUGAAGUGAAAAGACCGGUUGAAUUGUCACAUUUUGUCACAUGCAUUGAAAAGAUUGCAUGGUUGAUAUAUACGUUAAAAGAUUCCUUUGUUAAUUCCUGAUAAGAAAAGGGUAACUAUCUCUAGAAUGGAUUAGGCUUAACUAAUCCUAAUGAGGCACCUAUAAAAAGCUCCAUUCUUAGGUACAUUUCAUAGGAAUGAAUUCUCUUCUUACAAGCUCCAUUCUUAGGUACAUUUCAUAGGAAUCCAAUAUAAAAUUUCAAUGUAAAUCAUGUUUUUUGAUGGGCAUCUAUAUUGCCAGCGUCAAUAACAGCUUUCUCUCUUAGCUAGCUUAAGAUCUUCAUCUACCGUCAUCUUCACCAAUUGCUCAAAUCCGAAUCUAGGUUUCCAAUCCAAAACCUUUUUCGCUUUGCUUGCAUCUCCUUUGAGAUUAUCCACUUCCACGCGCCUAAAUUGCCGAUGGUCAAUCUCUACAUGUUCCUUCCAGCUUAACCCCACAUAACCAAAUGCCAAUUCGCAAAACUCCUCCAUAGUAUAUGACUCUUCAGUAGCGAACACAUAAUCAUCAGGCUUCUCUUAUUGUCUAUCCAGAAUUUUUCUUCAAAAGUGAUUAUAACUACAACCUUUAUGUUAUUAUAGAUAUCUUAAUUUCCACAACUCCCUUUUACCAAUCAAUUUUUUAUUAGAUUGAUGUUUAGGACUCAUUGUUUAUUCUACAACCAUGAAAACUCAAGCUGUGUUCUUGAAGAGCAUGACUUGAGUCCAAGAUCUCACCUUUUCUAAAGGAAAUGCUCAUUUUGCUGCACCAAAAAGUAAGCCCACUUGUCAUGAUGAUUAUGAGUUGGUUAGUGAAGAGUCACAUG
Molecule: long non-coding RNA, 40847 nt
Filed under: Nicotiana tabacum (common tobacco)
Lineage: Eukaryota; Viridiplantae; Streptophyta; Magnoliopsida; Solanales; Solanaceae
Description: long non-coding RNA (NTAB_LNC012349)
Source: RNAcentral